This 253-nucleotide ribosomal RNA is filed under the name uncultured bacterium. RNAcentral describes it as "partial 16S ribosomal RNA". It matches the Rfam family "Bacterial small subunit ribosomal RNA", at positions 524 to 776 of the family's 1533-position model. The record is from RNAcentral.
UACGAAGGGGGCUAGCGUUGUUCGGAAUUACUGGGCGUAAAGCGAACGUAGGCGGUGUUCAAUGUCAGAGGUGAAAGCCUGGGGCUCAACUCCAGAAUUGCCUUUGAAACGGGGACGCUUGAGUCCGAGAGAGGGUGGCGGAAUUCCUAGUGUAGAGGUGAAAUUCGUAGAUAUUAGGAAGAACACCAGUGGCGAAGGCGGCCACCUGGCUCGGUACUGACGCUCAGGUUCGAAAGCGUGGGGAGCAAACAGG